GGCGAACGGGUGAGUAACGCGUGAGGAACCUGCCUCAAAGAGGGGGACAACAGUUGGAAACGACUGCUAAUACCGCAUAAGCCCACGGUGCCGCAUGGCACAGAGGGAAAAGGAGCAAUCCGCUUUGAGAUGGCCUCGCGUCCGAUUAGCUAGUUGGUGAGGUAACGGCCCACCAAGGCAACGAUCGGUAGCCGGACUGAGAGGUUGAACGGCCACAUUGGGACUGAGACACGGCCCAAACUCCUACGGGAGGCAGCAUG
RNAcentral lists this ribosomal RNA (260 nucleotides) under uncultured bacterium. Its description in RNAcentral is "partial 16S ribosomal RNA". It matches the Rfam family "Bacterial small subunit ribosomal RNA", at positions 97 to 353 of the family's 1533-position model. The record is from RNAcentral.